CAACAAUUGCAGCAUUAUUAUUGGUGGUCUGGCAGUGUUUUAAUGUCUAUACAAUCAAACAAAAAAAUUACAACUUUUCUAUUCUUCAUUUUGGCCUGAGAGCUUUGCGUUAUGUGGAGAGAUCAUUUCGUAAGGACGCUCUCCCUCUGUGAUUCAACAUCCUUCUCCAUUGUAUCGAUCAUUGCACGAUUGACUUCACAGUAAUGUCGGUUGAUCGAUCGUAUCAGUUGUCGGCAUCAGCAGCAGAUGCUCUUUUUCCCGUUAGAAUAUAUAAGAGUGAGGGAGUGUGAGAGAGAGUGAUUGUGUGAAGAUGGUGACGGCGGCGGCUGCAAAGGUUGUUCUAGGCUCGAUUGCGUUCGGAAUAUUCUGGAUUUUGGCAGUGUUUCCGGCGGUGCCAUUCCUCCCCAUUGGCCGGACUGCCGGCUCCCUCCUCGGCGCUAUGCUCAUGGUGAUCUUCCGCGUCAUCCCGCCGGAGGAAGCCUACGACGCCAUCGACCUCCCCAUUAUCGGCCUCCUCUUCGGUACCAUGGUCGUGAGCGUCUUCUUGGAGCAGGCCGACAUGUUCAAGCACCUCGGCAAGCUGCUCUCCUGGAAGAGCCGCGGCGGCAGGGACCUGCUCCUCCGCGUCUGCCUAGUCUCAUCCGUUUCCAGCUCCCUCUUCACUAACGACACCAGCUGCGUCGUGCUCACCGAGUUCAUCCUUAAGCUCGCCCGUCAGAACAACCUCCCGCCCCAGCCCUUUCUCCUCGCACUCGCCUCCAGCUCCAACAUCGGGUCCGCGGCGACCCCCAUCGGCAACCCCCAAAACCUCGUUAUCGCCGUGCAGAGCGGCAUCCCCUUCGGUAAGUUCCUCGUCGGACUCUUCCCCGCCGUCCUCGUCGGAAGCCUCCUCAACGCCGCCAUCCUCCUCUUCUAUUUCUGGAAAAUUCUGUCGGUGGAGAAGGACGAGGAAGUGGCCUCCACCGUCGGAGAAAUGGUGGCGGAGGACGACAUGAUCCUGCACCGCUUCUCCCCCGCCACCAUGUCGCACCUCCCCUCUUUGCAUUCCCAGCCAUUUGGGUCCACCCUCCCCUCCUUGUCCGGAAAAUUCGGCUCCGUCAGCAGCGUUCGUGGCAGGGCUAAAAGCGUCGACGUUGAUGUGCAGACCCCAUCAAGCUCGGGAAUUGAGUCCUUACGGACCUCGAACGUGUCGAAGGAGACGGCAGAACUCGCCGGGACCUCGCAGAGAGAGAAGGGCGUGGCGUCGAAGAGGGUUCCCAAGACUUACAGCUACCAAAGCCGCAGCCUCAGAGGAGAGUCCUCUGUGCUUUCUCUCGACUCCGAGGAAAACGUCGUGGAGAGAUGGAAGAGCAUGCUGUGGAAGGCUUGCGUUUACCUUGUAGCUCUCGGGAUGCUCGUCUCCCUUUUAAUGGGCCUAAACAUGUCAUGGGCGGCUAUUGCGGCUGCCCUUGCUCUGGUGGUGCUCGAUUUCAAAGAUGCGUGCCCUUGCCUUGAGAAGGUUUCAUACUCCUUGUUGAUAUUCUUUUGCGGGAUGUUUAUCACUAUGGAUGGAUUUAACAAAACCGGCAUACCGUGUGCUUUGUGGGACUUUGUUGAACCUUAUUCUUGCAUUGAUAGAGCUAGUGGAAUUGCACUUCUUGCCCUGGUCAUUCUUUUGCUUUCAAACGUUGCUUCCAAUGUCCCUACAGUUCUCCUGCUGGGUGGAAGAAUCGCUGCGUCUGCUGCACUCAUUUCUCCUGAAGAAGAGACGCGUGCAUGGCUCAUGCUUGCAUGGGUCAGUACAGUGGCAGGAAACCUCUCUCUUCUCGGAUCCGCAGCCAAUCUCAUAGUCUGCGAGCAAGCUCGCCGAGUUCAAUACUUUGCUUACAACCUCUCCUUCUUUAGUCAUCUGCGAUUCGGCCUUCCUUCGACACUCGUGGUUACUGGGAUUGGGUUACUGCUGGUGAGGAGUUAUUGAUCAGCUCGAAUACGCGUCGAAGAUCAUGACAAAGUAAUUAAUUAGAUUCUUCUUUGUCGAUGCCACAUUCAAGAAAUUCCAUAUCCUGUGCUGUAGCGAGAGCUUCAUUGUUGAAUAAAAGUGAACAUCAUCGCUGAGAACUCGUCGAGGGUUGGCUGGCCCAGUAUAACAUUAUAGACGGAUGGUGCGUCCAUCACAAUGAAAUUUGUCGUCCUCGUCCUCUUUAGCGACUCUUCUCCGAGCGAAAUGGCUAACCAUGCUUGGUCGAUCGACAACACUUCGUUGCCU
Molecule: RNA transcript, 2245 nt
Organism: Zingiber officinale
Lineage: Eukaryota; Viridiplantae; Streptophyta; Magnoliopsida; Zingiberales; Zingiberaceae
Gene name: silicon efflux transporter LSI2-like
Exons: 4
Source: RefSeq, a predicted model, not a curated record